AUCCAGUUGACGAGUCCCAAAUAGGACGAAACGCGCGUCCUGGAU
Schistosoma curassoni is the source of this 45-nucleotide non-coding RNA. The record is from Rfam. Lineage: Eukaryota; Metazoa; Platyhelminthes; Trematoda; Strigeidida; Schistosomatidae.